This 468-nucleotide ribosomal RNA is filed under the name uncultured bacterium. Its description in RNAcentral is "partial 16S ribosomal RNA". It matches the Rfam family "Bacterial small subunit ribosomal RNA", at positions 28 to 507 of the family's 1533-position model. The record is from RNAcentral.
GACGAACGCUGGCGGCGUGCUUAACACAUGCAAGUCGAACGGAAAGGCCCUGCUUUUGUGGGGUGCUCGAGUGGCGAACGGGUGAGUAACACGUGAGUAACCUGCCCUUGACUUUGGGAUAACUUCAGGAAACUGGGGCUAAUACCGGAUAGGAGCUCCUGCUGCAUGGUGGGGGUUGGAAAGUUUCGGCGGUUGGGGAUGGACUCGCGGUUUAUCAGCUUGUUGGUGGGGUAGUGGCUUACCAAGGCUUUGACGGGUAGCCGGCCUGAGAGGGUGACCGGCAACAUUGGGACUGGGAUACGGCCCAGACUCCUACGGGAGGCAGCAGUGGGGAAUAUUGCACAAUGGGCGGAGGCCUGAUGCAGCAACGCCGCGUGCGGGAUGACGGCCUUCGGGUUGUAAACCGCUUUCGCCUGUGACGAAGCGUGAGUGACGGUAAUGGGUAAAGAAGCACCGGCUAACUACGUG